GGAUCCAGACUUUGAUUCUGGCUCAGGAUGAACGCUAGCUACAGGCUUAACACAUGCAAGUCGAGGGGCAGCAUGGUCUUAGCUUGCUAAGACUGAUGGCGACCGGCGCACGGGUGAGUAACACGUAUCCAACCUGCCGUCUACUCUUGGACAGCCUUCUGAAAGGAAGAUUAAUACAAGAUGGCAUCAUGAGUCCGCAUGUUCACAUGAUUAAAGGUAUUCCGGUAGACGAUGGGGAUGCGUACCAUUAGAUAGUAGGCGGGGUAACGGCCCACCUAGUCUUCGAUGGAUAGGGGUUCUGAGAGGAAGGUCCCCCACAUUGGAACUGAGACACGGUCCAAACUCCUACGGGAGGCAGCAGUGAGGAAUAUUGGUCAAUGGGCGAGAGCCUGAACCAGCCAAGUAGCGUGAAGGAUGACUGCCCUAUGGGUUGUAAACUUCUUUUAUAAAGGAAUAAAGUCGGGUAUGCAUACCCGUUUGCAUGUACUUUAUGAAUAAGGAUCGGCUAACUCCGUGCCAGCAGCCGCGGUAAUACGGAGGAUCCGAGCGUUAUCCGGAUUUAUUGGGUUUAAAGGGAGCGUAGAUGGAUGUUUAAGUCAGUUGUGAAAGUUUGCGGCUCAACCGUAAGAUUGCAGUUGAUACUGGAUAUCUUGAGUGCAGUUGAGGCAGGCGGAAUUCGUGGUGUAGCGGUGAAAUGCUUAGAUAUCACGAAGAACUCCGAUUGCGAAGGCAGCCUGCUAAGCUGCAACUGACAUUGAGGCUCGAAAGUGUGGGUAUCAAACAGGAUUAGAUACCCUGGUAGUCCACACGGUAAACGAUGAAUACUCGCUGUUUGCGAUAUACGGCAAGCGGCCAAGCGAAAGCGUUAAGUAUUCCACCUGGGGAGUACGCCGGCAACGGUGCAACUCAAAGGAAUUGACGG
This 922-nucleotide ribosomal RNA is filed under the name uncultured Bacteroidota bacterium. Its description in RNAcentral is "bacterial SSU rRNA". It matches the Rfam family "Bacterial small subunit ribosomal RNA", at positions 1 to 916 of the family's 1533-position model. The record is from RNAcentral. Lineage: Bacteria; Pseudomonadati; Bacteroidota.